This 470-nucleotide long non-coding RNA is filed under the name Cricetulus griseus (Chinese hamster). Its description in RNAcentral is "lncRNA (ENSCGRG00015028998.1)". Lineage: Eukaryota; Metazoa; Chordata; Mammalia; Rodentia; Cricetidae. The record is from RNAcentral.
AAGGGAGAGGUCCUGGGAUGACCUAAUCACUGAAGAUUUCCAGGACAAUCUGUAGCUUGAGCAAGGCCUGGAGGGAGAAUCCACUGUGUUUCUCUCCUGCUUCCCUUGGUGGGGGAGAAGAAACAGUCUAUACCCAAGGCUGCUGCCACCUCCAGUAUUGCUUGUAAGGAUUGGUUAACGUUCCAGGCUUUAAAGAACCUGCCUGCCCCAGGAAUCUGUUCCCGAAGAUAAGAGAGAUAAAAUCAAACACAAUGAAAUGAAGUUAUUAUGACUAUUUAUAGAUGAUAGCCAAAACCAAGGUGAUACAUCUGGAAGUCACAAAAUGGCAAAGACUGCCUGCACUUUCCAGAAGCCAGGAGAGUAGUGCGGAAUGGAUUCUCCCUCUUAGAGGCACCGAUCUUGCUGGCAUCCAUCCUGAUUGCGGACUUCUGCCUACCACACCUCUGAGACAGUGAAUUGUGUUAUUUAAG